ACCCCAUUCCCGAUAACCUGGCAUUUUCACAAACUCGGCCACCCUUCGGUCGACAUUAGGCCGAGUUUUCGGGACUCUACUGUAUCUUCAUUUAUCUUUAAAUAUUGGACAUAUUGCUCAAAUAAGAUAAAAUAUAUAAAUCAUGUUACUUAUUUUCACACUUGCAGCACUUUUUUGAUAUCUGUAGGAUCUGCUAUAUUUAUUCCUAACAGAUAUUUUUCUUCUUGAUUUUAUUAUUAAAAAUGCUUAAAUAUCUGUAAAUGUAAAUAUGCAAUAUAUAUUGAAAAUAUUGAUUUAUCAGUUACUUCAAAAAUAAGAUUGAAAAUGUGUAGAGUGAUCUUUUUUGCAAAUAGUGUCAUUGUAUAUAUCCACUAUGGUCAAACUGUGGAUCAUGAAUUGCACAAAGAUCUUUACCACCUUCAAUACAGCUCCAUACUAUGAACAUUCAAUAGUUUUUAUGAAGCAGUACCUAUUUCAUUUAAAAACAUAUUUUUAAUUCAUUUAUUUAUUGCAAAAAAUAGUAUGGAUCUAUACAAAAUAAAUGUGUGUGAAAUCUAUAUAAAACACAAAAUUAAUUGUAGGUUAAAAGUUUUUAUUAAAUGGUGUUUAUAUAUAAAACUUUACAACAAAAAAUAGUUUUCAACCUAAUCAAGUCAUAUUCUUCAUUAUAAAAGUUCAUAUAUAUACUCCAUCUACUAAAGACUUUUAAUCUAUGAUUUGUGCUUGUGUUUUAUGCAUUUUUAAAAGUCAAGUAGAUGAAUUUGUUACUUCUGUGAAAUAUAUAACAACAAUUUUUGAAAUUUUGAAAUCAUUUGUUAAGAUUACCCGGAAAAAACAGACUGCAGUUUGUGACUAUUUCAGAUUUUUGUAUGUGGUUCAUAGAGAUGAAAUUUGGCCAUUUCUGCUAUAUAUUAUCAAUUAUUUAUUUUAUUAAAUUAAAUGUAGCAAUUCUCAUAUUUCUGAUCAAACAAUCAGUGCAAUCUCUGUUAAUUCCGAUAGCUUAAUAAAUAGCUGAUUAUUUUACAGGCAGUUUCAAUCAUCAAAUUUGUACUGUAACAAUUGUAUGUAUUUGUUGACUUUCUGCUUCCAUCAGUUGCAGCAAAAUUUCUUUUAUACAUUUUACUUUCUAUUUGUUAUUGUUUUGACUCCCUUUGUUAAUAUUUUUGUUGCAA
Molecule: long non-coding RNA, 1172 nt
Filed under: Androctonus crassicauda
Lineage: Eukaryota; Metazoa; Arthropoda; Arachnida; Scorpiones; Buthidae
Source: RNAcentral